Molecule: long non-coding RNA, 2476 nt
Filed under: Callithrix jacchus (white-tufted-ear marmoset)
Lineage: Eukaryota; Metazoa; Chordata; Mammalia; Primates; Cebidae
Description: lncRNA (ENSCJAG00000071118.1)
Source: RNAcentral
AAACAGGUAAUAGGUUGAUUUGUCCUAGAUUAUUAUCAUUUUUUAAUAAAAUAGAUUGUGAUAGUUUAAAAACAGUAUUUUAUAUACACCACAUUUUGUUUAUUCAUUCACCUAUUGAUGGGCAUUUAAUUUCCACACCUGAAGGUUGUUUUCAAUUCUUUGUUUUAGUUGCAAGAAACCCAGGAUCAACUCACAGAGACUCUAAGAUAUGAUGAGGAGAUUCCAGACAACGUGCAAAACAGGUGUGCAAGAAAACAUAACUGCAGAAGUAGAUGAAGAGUUACUGUGUAUUUAUGUGUCAUCUACAUGCCAUGGAAGUCUUAAAAUCAGUUGUCAGUUUCUACAAAAUACCUGCUUGGAUUUGGACUGGGAUUGCAUUAUGUCAUAGGAAAGAAUGAACAUCUUAAUAAUGUUGAGUUUUUCAACCUAUGAAUAAGGUGUUUUCUUAGAACUUAUUUGAUUUUUCUCCUCAAUACUUUUUGGUUAUCGUUGUACAGGUAUUUUGCAUAGUAUGUCAGAUAUAUUCCCAAGAAUUUUAUAUUUUAAUGCUAUUAUAAAUAGUAUUAUUUUUAAAAUUUAAAUUCCUAACAGUUUAUUUGUAACAUAUAGAAUUACAAUUGAUUUUUGUAUGUCAAUCAUGUGUCCUGCAAUAUGGGAAAACUCACUCACUGGUGUCAGUAAUGUUGCAAUGGAUUUCACCUGGUUUUCUACACAGAUGAUUAUGUCUGUGAAUAAAGACAAUUUUACUUAUUUCUUUUCAGUCUAGAUGCCAUUUAUUUUCCUCCCUCCCUUCCUCUCUUCCACUCUUCCUUGCUUCCUUCCCUCCUUUCUUCCUUCUCCUGACUCCCUUUUAAAAGUGAUUACAGUGGCUCGAAUUUCCAGUACAUUGUUGAAUAGAAGUGGUAAGAGCUGACAUGCAAGUCUUAUUCUUGGUCUUAGGGGAAAACAUUCAGUCUUUCAUCAUUAUGUAAGAUGUUAGCAUUACGUAUUUUUAAAAAGCCUUUUGACAUAUUCAGGAAAUUCUCCUGUAUUCACAGUUUGCUGAGAUUUUUUUUUUUUUCUUGGAGAUGGAGUUUCACUCUCAUUGCCCAGGCUGGAGUGUAGUGGCCCAAUCUCAGCUCACCACAACCUCCGCCUCCCAGGUUCAAGCGAUUCUCCUGCCUCAGCCUCAUGAAUAGGUGGGAUUAGAGGCAAGCACCACCACACCAGCUAAUUUUGUAUCUUUUUAGUAGAGACAGGGUUUCUCCAUGUUGGUCAGGAUGGUGUCAAUAUCCCAACCUCAGGUGAUUUGCCUGCCUCAACCUCCCAAAGUCCUGGGAUUACAUGUGUGAACCACCGCACCUGGCCCCACUGAGAUUAUUUUUUUAAUGAAAAAUGUUCAAUUUUCUCAUGUUUUUUCUGUAUCUAAUACAUACGGUUUUUAUUUUUUAAUAUUGUUAAUAUAAGAUUGAUUUGGGGGAGAAGGUUAAGUUCAUAUUUUUAAUUCAAAGUAAUUUUUAAAUGUAGCUUUUUCUUGAAAUUUUUUAGUUUAAAUCUUCUGUUUAAAAGACUAAGCAUUGUCAAUUAUUUUUUAAACUUCUGGUGAAAUAUAUAUAAUAUAAAAUUUCACAUUUCAACAAUUUUUAGCUCCAUAGUUCAAUAGCAUUAAAUACAUUUACAAUGUCGUACAAUAAUCAACAUUAUUAAUUUCUAGAACUUUUCAUAAUCCCUAACAGAAACUCUGUAUGCAUUAAAUAAUAUCUUCCCAUAGUCUCUCUCCUUAUCCCUAGUAACCUCUAUUAUACUUUCUGUCUCUGUGAAUUUACCCAUGCCAGGUAUAGUAUAUAAGUAAAAUCAUGAUAUAGUGGCUUUUUGUGUCUGGGUUAUUUCACUUACCAUAAUGUUUUCAAGGCUCAUCUGUAUUGUACAGCAUGUAUCAGUAGAUUGUUUCCUCUUAUUUGUGAUUAAUAUUCUAUUGCAGAGAAAUACCACAUUUUAUUUAACAGUUGAUGGACAUUUGUAUUGUUUCCAGGUUUUUACUAUUAUGAAUAAUGCACUAUGGACAUGUAUGUAGACAUGUUUCUCUUGGGUAACCACUCAGGUGGGAAUCUAAGUCAAAUGGUAACUAUGUUUAAUCUCAAGAAACUGUCAGGCUGUUGAUUCAAUACAGCUGUAUAAUUUUACAUUUCCAGGAGCAGUGUUUGAGGGUUCCAAUUUCUCCACAUCUUUUGCAGUAUUUUUUUUCAUCUUUUUUAUUACAGGCAUUCUAGUGGUGUUAAGUGGUACCUCGUUGUUUUGAUUUGCGUUUCCCUUUGAUGUUGAGCAUGACUUACUUCUUGUGGUUACUGGCCAGUUGUCAUUUCUUAGAUGAAAUACCUGGUCAUUAUCUUUUGUCCAUGUUUUAACUGAUUGCCUUUUUCUUGUUGAUUUGUAAGAUUUCUUUAUAUAUUCUGAACAAGAAUGUAUUUUUUUACAGAUUUUUUAAUAAACUUCGUUC